GACGAACGCUGGCGGCGCGCUUAACACAUGCAAGUCGAGCGAUGAAAUUUCGACAGAUCCCUUCGGGGUGAAGAUGAAAUGGAUUAGCGGCGGACGGGUGAGUAACACGUGAGUAACCUGCCUUUGACAUUGGGAUAGCCUCGGGAAACUGGGAUUAAUACCAAAUGACACUAACUGAUCACAUGAUCAAUUAGUCAAAGAAAUUCGGUCAAAGAUGGUCUCGCGGCUGAUUAGCUAGUUGGUGAGGUAACGGCCCACCAAGGCGACGAUCAGUAGCCGGCCUGAGAGGGUGAUCGGCCACAUUGGAACUGAGACACGGUCCAAACUCCUACGGGAGGCAGCAGUGGGGAAUAUUGCACAAUGGGGGAAACCCUGAUGCAGCGACGCCGCGUGAGCGAAGAAGGCCUUCGGGUCGUAAAGCUCUUUUAUGAGGGAAGAUAAUGACGGUACCUCAAGAAAAAGCCCCGGCUAACUACGUG
This 479-nucleotide ribosomal RNA is filed under the name uncultured bacterium. RNAcentral describes it as "partial 16S ribosomal RNA". It matches the Rfam family "Bacterial small subunit ribosomal RNA", at positions 28 to 507 of the family's 1533-position model. The record is from RNAcentral.